UCCCUGGUGGUCCAGUGGUUAAGACUCUGAGCUUCUACUGCAGGGGGUGUAGGUUCGAUCCCUGGUUGGGGAA
Molecule: transfer RNA, 73 nt
Organism: Ovis aries (sheep)
Lineage: Eukaryota; Metazoa; Chordata; Mammalia; Artiodactyla; Bovidae
Rfam family: tRNA
About the family: Transfer RNA (tRNA) molecules are approximately 80 nucleotides in length.
Source: Rfam